RNAcentral lists this ribosomal RNA (459 nucleotides) under uncultured bacterium. RNAcentral describes it as "partial 16S ribosomal RNA". It matches the Rfam family "Bacterial small subunit ribosomal RNA", at positions 338 to 795 of the family's 1533-position model. The record is from RNAcentral.
CCUACGGGUGGCAGCAGUGAGGAAUAUUGGUCAAUGGGCGGGAGCCUGAACCAGCCAAGUCGCGUGAGGGAAGAAGGUACUGUGUAUUGUAAACCUCUUUUGCCAGGGGACAAAGGCGGCCACGGGUGGCCGUAAGAGGGUACCUGGAGAAAAAGCAUCGGCUAACUCCGUGCCAGCAGCCGCGGUAAUACGGAGGAUGCGAGCGUUAUCCGGAUUUAUUGGGUUUAAAGGGUGCGCAGGCGGCGUGUCAAGUCAGCGGUAAAAUUUCGAGGCUCAACCCCGGCCGGCCGUUGAAACUGGCGUGCUUGAGUUAGAGAGAAGUAUGCGGAAUGCGUGGUGUAGCGGUGAAAUGCAUAGAUAUCACGAAGAACCCCGAUUGCGAAGGCAGCAUACCGGCUCCAAACUGACGCUGAGGCACGAAAGCGUGGGUAUCGAACAGGAUUAGAUACCCUAGUAGUC